GCCGAAUCAGACAGUGAUGCCAUCGGGAGGUGAUCUAGAGAGAUUGGUCCUCCUCUUCUUGCGACUGAGUGGGGAAUUCGGUUGAAGAGGUUGAGACCAGUGAGUGGUGCUUGGGCUGUAGGGCAGAGACUUCAGGUGUUGAUGCUUGAUCAGUAGUCUUCCUGCUUGAUUCCACUGUGAUCCGAUUGAUUUCCAGUGAGGUUGAGUGUCCUGUGGAUCUGGAAUUGUGGUUCCGGCAACACCUCAACCAGUAGCUCCUUUGGUUUCAACAAUCAACAGCGGUUGCUAAUUGAGGAUCUUGUCUGGUCCAGCAGAUCACUUUGUUUUCCAACAGCUCAAUUGAGUGAGGUUCUGUUGCUGUGAUGCUGGAAUUGUGAUCUUUGAGGUGUAUCCAGCAGCUUUCCCUAACCGGCAGCAACACCUUUGAUUGUGAUCUAUUGGUGAUCACUUUGGGUUUGAGG
Long non-coding RNA from Zingiber officinale, 461 nucleotides. RefSeq lists it as uncharacterized. Lineage: Eukaryota; Viridiplantae; Streptophyta; Magnoliopsida; Zingiberales; Zingiberaceae. The transcript has 3 exons. The record is from RefSeq and is a predicted model, not a curated record.